This 254-nucleotide ribosomal RNA is filed under the name uncultured bacterium. RNAcentral describes it as "partial 16S ribosomal RNA". It matches the Rfam family "Bacterial small subunit ribosomal RNA", at positions 524 to 776 of the family's 1533-position model. The record is from RNAcentral.
UACGUAGGGUGCGAGCGUUAGUCGGAAUUACUGGGCGUAAAGCGUGCGCAGGCGGUUUUGUAAGUCAGAUGUGAAAUCCCCGGGCUCAACCUGGGAACUGCGUUUGAAACUACAAGGCUAGAGUGUAGCAGAGGGGGGUAGAAUUCCACGUGUAGCAGUGAAAUGCGUAGAGAUGUGGAGGAAUACCAAUGGCGAAGGCAGCCCCCUGGGUUAACACUGACGCUCAGGCCACGAAAGCGUGGGGAGCAAACAGG